Ribosomal RNA from Macaca nemestrina (pig-tailed macaque), 95 nucleotides. The record is from Ensembl. NCBI's taxonomy places the organism in Eukaryota, Metazoa, Chordata, Mammalia, Primates, Cercopithecidae.
GUCUACAGACAUACCAUCCUUAACACACUGCUUUUGUCUGAUCUUGGAAACUAAGCAGGGUCGGGCCUGGUUAGUAUUUGGAUAGGAUGUAGACA